UGGGGAAUUUUGCGCAAUGGGGGAAACCCUGACGCAGCAACGCCGCGUGAGUGAUGAAGGCUUUCGGGUCGUAAAGCUCUGUCUAGAGGGAAGAAAUGAUAAUCGGUUAAUACCCGGUUUUCUUGACGGUACCUCUGAAGGAAGCACCGGCUAACUCCGUGCCAGCAGCCGCGGUAAUACGGAGGGUGCAAGCGUUGUUCGGAUUUAUUGGGCGUAAAGCGCGUGUAGGCGGUUUGUUAAGUCUGAUGUGAAAGCCCUGGGCUCAACCUGGGAAGUGCAUUGGAAACUGGCAGACUUGAAUACGGGAGAGGGUAGUGGAAUUCCUAGUGUAGGAGUGAAAUCCGUAGAUAUUAGGAGGAACACCGGUGGCGAAGGCGGCUACCUGGACCGAUAUUGACGCUGAGACGCGAAAGCGUGGGGAGCAAACAGG
Molecule: ribosomal RNA, 430 nt
Filed under: uncultured bacterium
Lineage: Bacteria
Description: bacterial SSU rRNA
Rfam family: Bacterial small subunit ribosomal RNA
Source: RNAcentral